GACGAACGCUGGCGGCGUGCUUAACACAUGCAAGUCGAGCGGUAAGGCCCUUUCGGGGGUACACGAGCGGCGAACGGGUGAGUAACACGUGGGUGACCUGCCCUCAGCUCUGGGAUAAGCCUGGGAAACCGGGUCUAAUACCGGAUAUGACUCCAUGACGCAUGUUGUGGGGUGGAAAGCCUUGUGCGGCUGAGGAUGGGCCCGCGGCCUAUCAGCUUGUUGGUGGGGUGAUGGCCUACCAAGGCGACGACGGGUAGCCGGCCUGAGAGGGCGACCGGCCACACUGGGACUGAGACACGGCCCAGACUCUUACGGGAGGCAGCAGUGGGGAAUCUUGCGCAAUGGGCGAAAGCCUGACGCAGCGACGCCGCGUGAGGGAUGACGGCCUCGG
This 391-nucleotide ribosomal RNA is filed under the name uncultured bacterium. Its description in RNAcentral is "bacterial SSU rRNA". It matches the Rfam family "Bacterial small subunit ribosomal RNA", at positions 28 to 420 of the family's 1533-position model. The record is from RNAcentral.